This is a long non-coding RNA of Papaver somniferum (opium poppy), 2337 nucleotides long. RefSeq lists it as uncharacterized. The transcript has 10 exons. The record is from RefSeq and is a predicted model, not a curated record. NCBI's taxonomy places the organism in Eukaryota, Viridiplantae, Streptophyta, Magnoliopsida, Ranunculales, Papaveraceae.
GAGAGAGAAAACCGAGAGCGAUAAGGCGAAAGAAGAAAACCAAACCCUAGAAAUCUAUUUCCCUUGAUUCUCUCUCAUGAUUUUUCUUGCUUUAGAUUCCUCUUCUUCUGGAUUUCUAGUAUGAGGCAUUAUUUCUGAUCUGUGAUUCGUGAAUGGUCUCUUUUGCUAUGGAUUUAGGGGGUUAAAGGAUUCCCCCCCUUGAAAUCAAAUCCUUCAUCUGCUUUGGCUGGAGGAAAUUCUGAUGGUAGGGACUCUGUAAUUGGAGAAGGAGAAAGAUAUCGGUUGGUUAGGGGAGAUUUUCUUCCACUGAUUUCUUCAAAUGGUGCUGCUUCAACUGGGGUUACACCUGAAACCUUUGAGUCUGCAGAAUGGAAAUCAGUGCUCACUAAUGAGAAGGUCGUCUGUCGUGAUGCUUCUACAAGCAAAUUAUUCUUCCACAUACCAAAUAUAAUUCAAGGUUUUGGCUGACGGUUACAUAUCCACUACCUCCUAUAAAGUUGACUGCUUUGAGUAUUCCAACUGAUGGGACAAAUCCAAUGCAGAAUGUAGAAAAGACAUUUCAACUGACACGAGCAGAUAUAGAUUGUUACAGAAACCCGAAUAUGAUGUGCAGGUGUGCCAGUUUGGAGUAUCAAUAGAGCGGGCUCUCAGUUGUUAGGAGCUAAUAGUCGUGAUGAUGGUCCUGCAAUUACGACAUGUACGAGGGAGGGGAUGAAUAAGAUCUCUUUGACAGGAUGUGCUGCUCGCAUCUUCUGCUUGGGGGUCAUAAUUGCGAAGCGCCGAACAGUUCAGCAGGUUCUCAACUUGAUACCAAAAGAGCUGGAUGGUGAGCAUUUUGAAGAUGCACAUGCCCGUGUUUGUCGUUGCAUAGGGGGUGGUAAUGAUGCGGAAAAUGCAGAUAGUGAUAGUGAUCUGGAACCUAGUGAAUUACAUAACGUAUAGUUAUAGACUAUAUUCAAGUGGAUAAAUACAAUUAAGUUUGGAGAUGGCAGAUGAGUGGUUCGCGAAUCAAAAUUGCGGGAAGGUUCAAACCUUGUAUUCACAUGGGCUGUAUUGACCUUGAAUCUUUUGUAGAACUUAACCAAAAGUCUAGGAAGUGGCAGUGCCCCAUUUUCCUCAAAAACUACACCUUGGAGCAUAUGAUUAUUGACCCGUAUUUCAAUCGCAUCGCAUCACAGCCAUGAUGGGUAGUUGUGGAGAAGAUGUAACAGAGAUAGACGUCAAGCCAGAUGGUUCUUGGCGUGCGAUGAAUGAUAGAGAGCAUAUGGAUCUUGCACAGUGGCACUUCCCUGAUGGUUCCCUUUCCGUUGAGACAGGCAAAAACAUUAAACCUGACUUGGAGAGCUCAAAGCAGAUCAAACAUGAUGGACCUUCCGAAGAACAAAGCCCUUUUAAAUUAUGAAUCAAGAAGAAUUCAAACGGGACAUGGGAAGUUAAGAAACCUGAAUUGCUAACUCUCUCUCCUGACAGUCAGCUAGAAGAUAUUCAUAGCGGAGGAGGCAUUCUUAGGAGCAGCAGUGGCACUGGAAGUGUUAGAGACGUUGAUGAUUAAAAUGCUAAUCGAGAUGUUGGUGGGAAAUUUGAUUUCCUGCCCAACAAUGGCAAUGAGCUUGAUUAAAAUACGCGAGGAAGACUGGAUAUCUCUUAGGGUUGGUCAUGAUCGGUCGGCAGCCACAAAUGGUUUGAAUGCAGGACACGAGUCUGAGUCUAAGGAGGCAUCGUCGCUUCCGAGUUCAAAUGGCGAGAGCCGAGAGGUCUGAUAGGACGACAACAAAUCAGCAGAAAUCUGCAAGCCCUUUCUCGUUUCCGCGUCAGGCCUGGUCAGUGCAACCAAGAUUAUACCUGUCCAUUGAUUCAGACUCAGAUUUUUGAUGAGUGAGCAUCAUGAUUUUACAUACAAUACCGGGCAGACUAGGUGUGGCUUGGCAUCUAGUUCCCUUUAUUAAUCUAACAUCAAAUGUAUCGAGAAAGUAUGUGUCAGUAAAGGGAGAUCAGUUCUCAUCUGCUGCUGUGUAGGAUGUCAUCAGGGAACUGCUGGCUUGCGCUUUUCACUGGAAUAAAAUAGAAACUUUUGCAUCCUUAACAUCGUUUUGGAAGACAACCUCAGGCAUAACUGAACAGAGUGUAAUUUUGGUUUCCCCACUCCCUCCUCUUUCUUUCAAGGAAAAAGAUCAUCUUAGAUAUUUGUACAUUAACUUUAGGUAAUAUAUCAACCUUGUGCUCCCUUGUGUCCUGAAAAUUUCCGAGGAUAACUUCAUUGUGUAUAUAACCCUAUAUUAUUGGUUCCUAAAUCUUUCUGCUCAAAUUAAUAGAUAAUUGAAACAUCUUUCUAAUUUA